This 839-nucleotide ribosomal RNA is filed under the name uncultured bacterium. RNAcentral describes it as "bacterial SSU rRNA". It matches the Rfam family "Bacterial small subunit ribosomal RNA", at positions 562 to 1398 of the family's 1533-position model. The record is from RNAcentral.
AAAGAGCUCGUAGGCGGUUUGUCGCGUCUGCCGUGAAAGUCCGGGGCUUAACUCCGGAUCUGCGGUGGGUACGGGCAGACUUGAGUGACGUAGGGGAGACUGGAAUUCCUGGUGUAGCGGUGAAAUGCGCAGAUAUCAGGAGGAACACCGAUGGCGAAGGCAGGUCUCUGGGCAUUAACUGACGCUGAGGAGCGAAAGCAUGGGGAGCGAACAGGAUUAGAUACCCUGGUAGUCCAUGCCGUAAACGUUGGGCACUAGGUGUGGGGGACAUUCCACGUUUUUCCGCGCCGUAGCUAACGCAUUAAGUGCCCCGCCUGGGGAGUACGGCCGCAAGGCUAAAACUCAAAGGAAUUGACGGGGGCCCGCACAAGCGGCGGAGCAUGCGGAUUAAUUCGAUGCAACGCGAAGAACCUUACCAAGGCUUGACAUGAACCGGAACGGCGCAGAGAUGUGUCGGCCACUUGUGGCCGGUUUACAGGUGGUGCAUGGUUGUCGUCAGCUCGUGUCGUGAGAUGUUGGGUUAAGUCCCGCAACGAGCGCAACCCUCGUUCCAUGUUGCCAGCGGGUUAUGCCGGGGACUCAUGGGAGACUGCCGGGGUCAACUCGGAGGAAGGUGGGGACGACGUCAAAUCAUCAUGCCCCUUAUGUCUUGGGCUUCACGCAUGCUACAAUGGCCGGUACAAAGGGUUGCGAUGCUGUGAGGUGGAGCUAAUCCCAAAAAGCCGGUCUCAGUUCGGAUUGAGGUCUGCAACUCGACCUCAUGAAGUCGGAGUCGCUAGUAAUCGCAGAUCAGCAACGCUGCGGUGAUACGUUCCCGGGCCUUGCACUCACCGCCCGUC